This 98-nucleotide ribosomal RNA is filed under the name Pseudomonas aeruginosa. RNAcentral's name for it is "partial 16S ribosomal RNA". It matches the Rfam family "Eukaryotic small subunit ribosomal RNA", at positions 1609 to 1706 of the family's 1831-position model. Lineage: Bacteria; Pseudomonadati; Pseudomonadota; Gammaproteobacteria; Pseudomonadales; Pseudomonadaceae. The record is from RNAcentral.
AAUUCCUAGUAAGCGCGAGUCAUAAGCUCGCGUUGAUUACGUCCCUGCCCUUUGUACACACCGCCCGUCGCUACUACCGAUUGAAUGAUUUAGUGAGG